CUCCUAUCCCCUGGUGUGCCUUGCCUCCACGACUCGGCCGCGUCGACGAAGAAGGCUCUUGGGUUGUAAACCCCUUUUCUCUGGGAAGAAAGUUGUGAAAGCAACCUGACGGUACCUGAAGAAUAAGGAUCGGCUAACUCCGUGCCAGCAGCCGCGGUAAUACGGAGGAUCCAAGCGUUAUCCGGAUUUAUUGGGUUUAAAGGGUGCGUAGGCGGCCUAUUAAGUCAGGAGUGAAAUACGGCAGCUUAACUGUCGCAGUGCUCUUGAUACUGAUAGGCUUGAAUGUCGCUUAAGAUGGCGGAAUGAGACAAGGUAGCGGUGAAAUGCAUAGAUAUGUCUCAGAACACCGAUUGCGAAGGCAGCUGUCUAAACGAUUAUUGACGCUGAUGCACGAAAGCGUGGGGAUCAAACAGGAUUAGAUACCCUGGUAGUACCACGCCCUAAACGAUGAUAACUCGAUGUUAGCGAUAU
Molecule: ribosomal RNA, 471 nt
Filed under: uncultured Sphingobacterium sp.
Lineage: Bacteria; Pseudomonadati; Bacteroidota; Sphingobacteriia; Sphingobacteriales; Sphingobacteriaceae
Description: bacterial SSU rRNA
Rfam family: Bacterial small subunit ribosomal RNA
Source: RNAcentral